Molecule: ribosomal RNA, 591 nt
Filed under: uncultured bacterium
Lineage: Bacteria
Description: bacterial SSU rRNA
Rfam family: Bacterial small subunit ribosomal RNA
Source: RNAcentral
CCUACGGGAGGCAGCAGUAGGGAAUUUUCCACAAUGGGCGAAAGCCUGAUGGAGCAAUACCGCGUGCAGGAUGAAGGCCUUCGGGUCGUAAACUGCUUUUAUGUGCGAAGAAUUUGACGGUAACACAUGAAUAAGGAUCGGCUAACUACGUGCCAGCAGCCGCGGUCAUACGUAGGAUCCAAGCGUUAUCCGGAAUUACUGGGCGUAAAGAGUUGCGUAGGUGGCAUUAUAAGUGGAGCGUGAAAGCGUGCGGCUCAACCGCAUUAUUGCGUUCCAAACUGUGGAGCUUGAGUAUGGGAGAGGUAGAUGGAAUUUCUAGUGUAGGAGUGAAAUCCGUAGAUAUUAGAAGGAACACCGAUGGCGUAGGCAGUCUACUGGCCCAUUACUGACACUAAGGCACGAAACCGUGGGGAGCAAACGGGGAUUAGAUACCCCGGUAGUCCACGCUGUAAACUAUGGAUGCUAGCUGUGACACACACCGACCUGUGUCGUAGCGAAGUUAACGCGUUAAGCAUCCCGCCUGGGGAGACGUCGCGAGAUAACUUAAGUAAGUAGACGCGUGAGAGUGCGACGACGACGACGAGGGAGAGG